Molecule: long non-coding RNA, 429 nt
Organism: Populus euphratica (Euphrates poplar)
Lineage: Eukaryota; Viridiplantae; Streptophyta; Magnoliopsida; Malpighiales; Salicaceae
Exons: 2
Source: RefSeq, a predicted model, not a curated record
CCAUCAGUACAAACAAUACAAUAGGGCUUAUAGUCCACAAAACGUUAAAAGCAAACAAAUAAGUCCAAAACUGAUACCUAAGCAUGUUCUUGGUGACGAUUCCUCCGUUCUCCGCUGCUCUGUUCCACCCUACCUUUAGGGAUUGAGAGUUGCUUGAAUUGAAUGAUCUUCAAAAACGUUGCAUAGAGAGGCUCGGACUUCAUUCUGAUUUGAUACUGUAUAGAAGUGGAGGUCACUCAUGCUUCGCAUAUUAGAUCUUCCUUUCUACGGAUUGUUUAUACUAGUCGAAGUAUUGAAAACAUAAAAAUUUGUUUAACUUUGAGAUUAUCGGAGGAUUUAGAAAGUUUCCAUGGCUUAAGAUACUUCCAGUAACCUUCAUCCUAUGAGUGCCGGAUUUGAUUUCUGAUGCAGAGAAGAUGUUAAGCCAUU